CCUACGGGAGGCAGCAGUGGGGAAUAUUGGGCAAUGGACGCAAGUCUGACCCAGCAACGCCGCGUGAAGGAAGAAGGCUUUCGGGUUGUAAACUUCUUUUUGUCGGGAAGAGCAGAAGACGGUACCCCUUGGAUGAGCCACUGCUAACUACGUGCCAGCAGCCUCGGUAAUACGUAGGUGGCAAGCGUUGUCCGGAUUUAAUGGGGGUAAAGUGCGUGCAUCCGGGCAGACAAGUCAGGUGUGAAAGCCGCGGGCUUAACCCGCGAACUGCCUUUGAAACUAUUGGUCUUGAGUACUGGAGAGGUGAGCGGAAUUCCUGGUGUAGCGGUGAAAUGCGUAGAGAUGAGGAAGAACACCAGUGGCGAAGGCAGAAGACUGGAGGGCUACUGACGGUGAGGCGCGAAAGCGUGGGGAGCAAACAGGAUUAGAUACCCUUGUAGUC
Molecule: ribosomal RNA, 442 nt
Filed under: uncultured bacterium
Lineage: Bacteria
Description: partial 16S ribosomal RNA
Rfam family: Bacterial small subunit ribosomal RNA
Source: RNAcentral